RNAcentral lists this ribosomal RNA (381 nucleotides) under uncultured bacterium. RNAcentral describes it as "bacterial SSU rRNA". It matches the Rfam family "Bacterial small subunit ribosomal RNA", at positions 28 to 410 of the family's 1533-position model. The record is from RNAcentral.
GACGAACGCUGGCGGCGUGCUUAACACAUGCAAGUCGAGCGGUAAGGCCCUUUCGGGGGUACACGAGCGGCGAACGGGUGAGUAACACGUGGGUGACCUGCCCUCAGCUCUGGGAUAAGCCUGGGAAACCGGGUCUAAUACCGGAUAUGACUCCAUGACGCAUGUUGUGGGGUGGAAAGCCUUGUGCGGCUGAGGAUGGGCCCGCGGCCUAUCAGCUUGUUGGUGGGGUGAUGGCCUACCAAGGCGACGACGGGUAGCCGGCCUGAGAGGGCGACCGGCCACACUGGGACUGAGACACGGCCCAGACUCCUACGGGAGGCAGCAGUGGGGAAUCUUGCGCAAUGGGCGAAAGCCUGACGCAGCGACGCCGCGUGAGGGAUG